GCCUAUUAGUUAGUUGGUGAGGUAACGGCUCACCAAGGCGAUGACGGGUAGCCGGUCUGAGAGGAUGUCCGGCCACACUGGAACUGAGACACGGUCCAGACACCUACGGGUGGCAGCAGUCGAGAAUCAUUCACAAUGGGGGAAACCCUGAUGGUGCGACGCCGCGUGGGGGAGCGAAGGUCUUCGGAUUGUAAACCCCUGUCAAGUGGGAGCAAAUUAAAAAGAUAGUACCACUAGAGGAAGAGACGGCUAACUCUGUGCCAGCAGCCGCGGUAAUACAGAGGUCUCAAGCGUUGUUCGGAAUCACUGGGCGUAAAGCGUACGUAGGCGGCUUGGUAAGUCGUGUGUGAAAGGCAGGGGCUCAACCUCUGGACUGCACAUGAUACUGCCAGGCUAGAGUAAUGGAGGGGAAACCGGAAUUCUCGGUGUAGCAGUGAAAUGCGUAGAUAUCGAGAGGAACACUCGUGGCGAAGGCGGGUUUCUGGACAUUAACUGACGCUGAGGUACGA
This 509-nucleotide ribosomal RNA is filed under the name uncultured bacterium. RNAcentral's name for it is "bacterial SSU rRNA". It matches the Rfam family "Bacterial small subunit ribosomal RNA", at positions 236 to 756 of the family's 1533-position model. The record is from RNAcentral.